AUUGAACGCUGGCGGCAUGCCUUACACAUGCAAGUCGAACGGCAGCACGGGAGCAAUCCUGGUGGCGAGUGGCGAACGGGUGAGUAAAGUAUCGGAACGUGCCCAGUCGUGGGGGAUAACGUAGCGAAAGUUACGCUAAUACCGCAUACGAUCUAUGGAUGAAAGCGGGGGAUCGCAAGACCUCGCGCGAUUGGAGCGGCCGAUAUCAGAUUAGGUAGUUGGUGGGGUAAAGGCUCACCAAGCCGACGAUCUGUAGCUGGUCUGAGAGGACGACCAGCCACACUGGGACUGGGACACGGCCCAGACUCCGACGGGAGGCAGCAGUGGGGAAUUUUGGACAAUGGGCGAAAGCCUGAUCCAGCCAUGCCGCGUGCAGGAUGAAGGCCUUCGGGUUGUAAACUGCUUUUGUACGGAACGAAAAGGUUUGGCCUAAUAAGCUGAGCUCAUGACGGUACCGUAAGAAGAAGCCCCGGCUAACUUCGUGCCAGCAGCCGCCGUAA
RNAcentral lists this ribosomal RNA (500 nucleotides) under uncultured bacterium. Its description in RNAcentral is "partial 16S ribosomal RNA". It matches the Rfam family "Bacterial small subunit ribosomal RNA", at positions 30 to 523 of the family's 1533-position model. The record is from RNAcentral.